GCAACAUCGGAAAUUCAGAAACCACGUGCCGUUAAAUAGACCAUCAAACAUUUUGUGAAUGUAGAAUGUGAGGUUAUGAGCAAGUUAAUGUUGAUAAACAUAAAUCAUUUAAGUUUUCGUUCAAAUAAAUAGAAACAAUAAAAUGCAAGAUACACAUUAUACGCGUAAAGAAGAAUCUUGCUCAGAUUGUAAAAACGAAACAUUAAAAAAAAAGUAUUUUUGUGACAAAUGCCUGUUUUCAGCCGCAAAAAAAUGGAAAGUGGAAGAACAUAGAAAAUAUCAUGAAUUUAUUCCUGGAAUUAAUUUGUUUGUGUGCAAUUAUUGUCCAUUUCGGUCUCCUAAACAAUCUCAACUAGAUCGACAUUUGAUGUUCACUCACGCCGAAGAAGCGAAUUUGAAAACUUAUUCAUGUAGAACUUGUGCGGCAACAUUUAUUUCUAAAAGUGGAUUGAAAAAACAUAGAAAAGAGGGACAUUAUAAGGAUUAAAACAGUUUGACAUUAUUAGAAGUAGGUUUUAGACUAAUUGAGUAGUUUCAAAGUUAAAUUAAUUCCUUCUGUAACUGCAAAACCAGGGUUUACUAACCAAGAGAAUGGAAAAAAAUUCAACACUUCACAAUUAGUUAAUGUUGCAUUUAUGUUAUUUUUAUCUUAACUAAUCUAAAAUAAAUAUAAUUCAGUGGUAGAUUUCUGAGAUUUUUUACGUAUGAUUGAAAAGCUGAAGAACUUCUGAUAUGAUUUAAUUCCAAAUAAGUCUUCUGAUACUAAAAUCAUAUUAGAGUAGAAAUUGUAUUAACUUACACUAUCACCAGAAAAGAAAUCUGCAAAUCUAUUGUGGUCUUUCCUUACCGUUUAGAUUCACGGGUGGGCAAUUUCCUCUUGUAUUUGUGAAUGCUGCCAAUAAUAUAUAGGUCUAAGUUUACUCAAAUGCUUUUAGCAGCAAUUUUUCUUAAGAAAUAUGUCCGAUUUUUUUAGGUUUGAUUAGGAAAUGGUGUGAACUAAAUCCACUGAAUCAGAGCAGUAUUUGCGAUUUUAUGUAGAUAAAACGAAAUUAGUUAAAAAUGAAAUAUGCUUAUCCAACAAAAAAUGAAAUUCCAAACGUGUACAAAAAAAAAAACAUAAAAGUUACAUUAACUGGUUUUUUUCACAUAUCGUUUCCUUUGGGUCUCGUAUGAAAUAAGAUAUGAAGAUUUUUAAUGAAAUCCUGGUCAAUGGUUAUUAAAAAUAAAAACUAAUCAUUUCGUGACCGCUGCAAUUGAUAACACAAAAAAUAAAUUGAAUUCUAUUAGAAAUUGGUCAUAAAAAGAAUCAAAACUCUCAUGAAAACUAGGGACAUAGGGAAAACUAGGGAAUACAAAAUAAUGCUAUUUAAAUUCCUAGAAUAAAUGCUAAUAGAUAUUUUCAACAUUCUAAAAUCUAAUUUGAUAGUGUUUUUACUUGAGAUCAGACACAAAAUGGAAGGAACCCAUUUCAAUUUAAUAUUACAGUAUUAUAAUUGUGGAGAGUACUAUAUUUAUAUGUGUGUGCAUGUGUGUUGUUGGGCGGAGAGCGCAUGAUCUCUUGUA
Molecule: long non-coding RNA, 1563 nt
Organism: Diorhabda carinulata
Lineage: Eukaryota; Metazoa; Arthropoda; Insecta; Coleoptera; Chrysomelidae
Exons: 3
Source: RefSeq, a predicted model, not a curated record